RNAcentral lists this ribosomal RNA (236 nucleotides) under uncultured Actinomycetales bacterium. Its description in RNAcentral is "partial 16S ribosomal RNA". It matches the Rfam family "Bacterial small subunit ribosomal RNA", at positions 96 to 334 of the family's 1533-position model. Lineage: Bacteria; Bacillati; Actinomycetota; Actinomycetes; Actinomycetales. The record is from RNAcentral.
UGGCGAACGGGUGAGAAACACGUGGGUAAUCUGCCCUGCACUCUGGGAUAAGCCUGGGAAACUGGGUCUAAUACUGGAUAUGACCCUUCUCCUUAUGGGGUCUGGUGGAAAGUUUUUCGGUGUAGGAUGAGCCCGCGGCCUAUCAGCUUGUUGGUGGGGUGAUGGCCUACCAAGGCGACGACGGGUAGCCGGCCUGAGAGGGUGAUCGGCCACAUUGGGACUGAGAUACGGCCCAG